UGGGGAAUAUUGGACAAUGGGCGAAAGCCUGAUCCAGCCAUGCCGCGUGUGUGAAGAAGGUCUUCGGAUUGUAAAGCACUUUAAGUUGGGAGGAAGGGCAGUAAGCGAAUACCUUGCUGUUUUGACGUUACCGACAGAAUAAGCACCGGCUAACUCUGUGCCAGCAGCCGCGGUAAUACAGAGGGUGCAAGCGUUAAUCGGAAUUACUGGGCGUAAAGCGCGCGUAGGUGGUUCGUUAAGUUGAAUGUGAAAGCCCCGGGCUCAACCUGGGAACUGCAUCAAAAACUGGCGAGCUAGAGUAGGGCAGAGGGUGGUGGAAUUUCCUGUGUAGCGGUGAAAUGCGUAGAUAUAGGAAGGAACACCAGUGGCGAAGGCGACCACCUGAGCUCAUACUGACACUGAGGUGCGAAAGCGUGGGGAGCAAACAGG
RNAcentral lists this ribosomal RNA (429 nucleotides) under Pseudomonadota bacterium. RNAcentral describes it as "Proteobacteria bacterium partial 16S ribosomal RNA". It matches the Rfam family "Bacterial small subunit ribosomal RNA", at positions 355 to 776 of the family's 1533-position model. Lineage: Bacteria; Pseudomonadati; Pseudomonadota. The record is from RNAcentral.